This is a long non-coding RNA of Heterocephalus glaber (naked mole-rat), 3549 nucleotides long. Lineage: Eukaryota; Metazoa; Chordata; Mammalia; Rodentia; Bathyergidae. The record is from Ensembl.
UUUCUCUGGCCCUCUGACCCCUCUUACUAUUACACACUUCCUUUGUCCCUGUUUUCAUUGUCAUGGUUUCUCCCAGCAGCACCUGGAGACUGCCUAAGGACUUCAUCCGGCUGCAGGAGCGUCCAGGAGUUGCUGGUCCUGGGAGCUGCCUUUGGCCACUGAAGAAUAAGAGUUGGUGGACAGACACUGCCUGGCAGGUGGAACUAUCCCUUGUAACAGUGCUCUCCAGGAAACAGUCAGUACAGAAGAAGAUUUAUUAGGAGGCUUUGGAUCAUAUGAUUGUGGAGGAUGAGAAGUCCUACACACUGUAACCUGCAAGCUGGAAGCCCAGGAAAGCUGGUGGUGAUGUUGCAAUCUGCUGUGGUUUGGAUGUGGUUGGUCUCAAAAGUUUAGAAGGGGGAGGCAGCGUCCCUGGUUACAGGCGCUGGAGCGUCUCCUUGGAGCUCCGUGGUGUAUCUAGGAGUCUGAAAGUGCACCCCAGGAAGAACAUGGACGCUGGAGACUGACUCUCAGGACUCUUGCUCUUGGAAGCCAGGCGCCAUAUUGUGAAGAAACCCAGACCCUGUGGAGAGCAUUCAGCUGAGUUCUCAGCUGAUAUCUAGCUCUAGCCACCCAACAUGUGGGUGGAUGAAGCUUUGGAAGAUUCCAGGCCCAACUCAUGCUGACGGAAGAAGAAAUGAGCUGUCUCCGCUGUACCCUGGCAACCCGUAGUCUCAUGUAUGUGGUGAAGGAGAAACCAGAUUCUGUCCUGUUCCAGCUGUUGCUGUUUGAGGUCUAUGGCUUUUGCAGCAGUACCUAACCUUCACAGACACAGACUCAUGACUGUGUCAGAUGGUGGGUAUCAUCCAUCUCCGUACUCUGUACUUUCUCACCUGAAGAAGCAGAACCUCUGGGCGUGAUCCUGUUCAUCACUAAUACACGGAUGGCCUCACAUUCACCCCUAUGUACCUGAUAUGAGACCAAGUCCCUGAGAUGGCCCUAUUAUAGGCUGCACUGUCCACCAUAGGCUCUGCUCACGGAAGCCCUAGACCACUCUAGCAUGCGGUUUUACAUUGUGAAAGAACAGAAUACUAUUUUGUGACACUGGUGAAAAUUAGAUGAAAUCCAAAUGUCAGUGUCCAUAAAUGAAGUUCUAUUGGCCACAGCUGCUCAUUUGUUUGCAUACUCUCUAUGGCUAUUGUGUUCCAGCAGCAGAGCCGAGGAGCUAUAAUGGACCCCAGGGUCUGUAAAGCCUGAAAUAUUUACUCUUUGAUGCUUGAUAGAAAACGUUUGUUGAUUCUUCAUCCAGAUGAAAUCAAAUUCCAAUAAUGUAAUUAUCCAUGCCUGAUGAUUUCCUUCUCCAGUAGCUGCUUUCAUCCAUGCUUCUCAGAAGCUGUCAGGAAUGAAGGGGCCUGACAGCCUCAGGAAUGGAGGAAGGUGCAGGCCAGGCAGGGGCAAUUGUCCUCUGCCCUGUGGGCCCGCAAGUAAGUUCCCUUCACUUGGCCAUGGGGUAUGCUCUGAUUGAAUGGGUUCUUGUCCAUCUACUUAGAGCCCUAUCUGUAUCUACCUCCAUCUCUCUGUAGAUUAUACCCACAUGUAUAUAAAUUAUAUAGGUGUGCAUAAUAUAGAAAACUUUAUGCUAGUGAUAAAUGCUAUAAAAAUAAAGUAUGUGAAAGAGGUAGUGAUGGGAGGCAUUUCUUCAAAAGGGGCAAGGGAAGGUCUCUCAGGUGCCAUGAGCAAAGACCUGUCUGAAGCAGUGAAGUACUGAUGCAUUCCAGGCAGUGCAAAGGCCCUGGGAUGGAACUGUCCUCUGUCCAAGAAAGACAAGAUGGCUUGGGGGCAGAGCCAGGGGGUGGGGGUGGGUGCUAGGUGGGAAGUGAGCCUGAGGAGUAAGGAGCGGCAGAUGGAGAACAAUCACAGGCCAAGGACAGGUGUCUGGAUGAUACCUUAAGUGCAGUUAAGUCUCCAGAGUGACCUGGGGCACGGUAUAAUCUGUUCUACAGAUUUCAAAGAUCUCUGUGGAGACUGAACCAUUGGACCUCCUGUGGGUCCUCAGGCAGGGCUUCCCUGAAGCAAAGAUCUCUGAACAUCAGGUGGUAAGCAGGCUGCCAAAGAGGCUGCAGCCUGGCUGGGGAAGGCAAGGGUCAGGUCAGGCGGAGUGGUGGACUCAGGAUGGUCCUUCAGACUUCCCCUCCUCUAGUCUCCUCUUUACCUCCUCUGUCCCUAUUUUCUCUGGGCACCAUGGCCCCUGCAGUUCACCCUCCUCAGGCCAGCUACCAUGCUGAUGCACCUGUCAAGUGCCUCUUCUGGGCCAAGUUCCUGGCUGAUAGGGAGUAGGUGGCUCAGAGCAGGUAUUUAUCAAAAAAACCAGGAGCUGGUGCUGGAAGGACAGCCGAAGUGGGCUACAUGGGGAUUCAUGAGAACCAUUCCACUGGCAUAGUUCAGUGUUCCAGAUUAUUCCCUUAAGGAUCUGGGUGACACACCUCUUGUCCUCACGGAUGGAGCCUGACACUCAGCACACAGAGCCAUAUCCUAUGGCAGUUCUACACCACCCAAGCCCAAACUCAACACUGUGAGCUCCUCCAAGCCACUUCACUUUGGAGCCCUGCCCUAAUCCCACAGUGCCUGGGACACUGGGGUAGGUGGAAAUGCUCCCUGAAGUAGUGCCCACCACUCCAUGGACUGGAUAGUUAUUACUAUCGAUGAGAAAAUUUAGUCAGAAAGGUGACCUACCUCAAGGUUAAAGGCUGGUCAACGGCGGAGGCAGACUGUGUUAAUUCUGCUAGGUAUAGGCUGUGCUCCUCAUACUUACUGGAUCAAUCAUUGACUGAAUUUACAAUCUAAAACAUCAGUGGGCUAUUCUCCAAUUCACCACUACUUAUACAAGAAAGCAGACAUCUGUAAGCUGUGACCACUUUACACCCACCAGGCUGGCUAAAAAAAGAAUAUAUGGCAAAAGCACUGUUGGUGGGAAUGUACAAUGGUGAAAAUGUGGCCAAAAAACAAAAAAAGUGACCAAAUAACUCAGCAGCCCAGGGAAACUGAAAACACAAAAUUUAUAGACAAAUGUUUGCAUCAAUAUGAUUCCUAAUAGCUAAGAAGUGAACAGUCCAAAUGACCAUCAACUGAUGGACAAAAUGUGAUAUAGUCAUACAGUGGAAUAUUAAGGGAAAAAAAGGAAUGAAAGCUGGGCAUUAUAGCACACACCUGUAAUCUCAGCACUUGGGAGGCUGAGGCAGGAGGAUUGCAGCCUGGGCAAUAUAGUGAGCUCAAGGUCAGCCUGAACUACAUAGCAAGACUGCCUCAAAAACAUAACUAAAUGAAAGAAUCCAGCUAUAAAAGGCUAUAUGUUGAAUUCCAUUUAUAGGCAAAGUCCCAAACUGACCAGCCUAUAGACAUAAAGAUCAAUGGCUGCAGGGGCAGGUGUAUGUGUAAGGUAGUGGGUGGGGAAACUUAGAAGUGUCUGCUAAUGGGCAUGUGUUUCUAAGGUGACAGAAAUGUUCUAUAAUUAGAUCAUGGUAAUGGCUGCACAACUGAUUUGUACAUUUCCAGAGUGAAUUAUCUCAAUAA